RNAcentral lists this long non-coding RNA (1273 nucleotides) under Portunus trituberculatus (swimming crab). Its description in RNAcentral is "uncharacterized LOC123507146". The record is from RNAcentral. Lineage: Eukaryota; Metazoa; Arthropoda; Malacostraca; Decapoda; Portunidae.
UGGUGAAGAGGUAUUGGCAGGAUCCUGCUGGUAUCAUUUUCGUGACAAAUUUGGUGCGAGAAAGGCUGAAGAGACCAACUGCAAGGAACAAGGCCUCUCUCCCCGAGAUGCAAGUUAUCUUCACUGCGGUACCUUGCUAUAGGAAAGAUGCGGCAGUGCAGCACUGAUGACUUGGGGCUCUCACAACAGACCAUCAGCAGGAUCGUCAGUGAUACAGUGAUACAAUGCCAUCCUCUCUUAAUUCAUAAGAUUUAUAGUCACCCAACUGGAAACUCAGUGGAGGAAGGAGGAGUUUCUGCAGAUUGCUGGCUUCCCUGAAGUGAUCGGUAGCAUUGAUGGUACGCACGUAAUGAUUGUGGCUCCUAGAGAGUAUAAGGUAGAGUUUGUCAACAGGAAGAGAUACUACAGCAUCAACGUGCAGUUUGUGUUUGAUGCUUGAUACCACAUUAUUGAUGUGGUUGCAAAGUGGCCGGGAUCGGUUCACGAUGUAAGAAUACUUGUUCAAAGUGGACUCUGCACGAUAUUUGACAACAGCAUCGUCCCAGCUGGGUGUCACUUACAGGGAGAUAGUGACUAUCCCAGCAAGAAGUGGCUACUGACUCCAUACCUCAGACCACAGCCUGGAGCACAGUCUUCUUAUAACAGGGCCCACAAGAAAACCCACAGCUUUGUUGAGAGGCAUCGGGCAGCUGAAGCGACAUUUUCACAUGCUACACAGUGAGAUCCGAGUUGGUCCUCCAUCCAAGGUUUGCCAAAUUGUAGAGGUUUGUGCACUGCUGCACAACAUCUGCAAAGCAAGAAACAUCAUUCUUCCUGAGGAAGCAGAACAUCUUGUUGCAGCCGAGGAUGGAGGCAACGAGGAGCGACUCCUAGCACAGAAAGUUCAAAGUCGCCAUGAAGUAAUCCUUUACAGGGAUGAAUUUGUUGUGCUUCACUUCAACAUUGAUGAGUGAUGAGACACCAGUGUCAUGACUGCUGAGAUUGGUGUUAUUCUCAUGUGGAUGAUCUCCUCAUCCACAAACACCAGUGAUGUACCAGGCAAGUCUGGCCCUUUUGGUGCUGGAAGUGGUGUGGCAGGUGCCUCCUCCUCAACACCCACUGCCUCGGUCACCACUUCUCUCUGUUGGGCUGCCUCUGCCACUUCCCCAGCAUCAUCUGCUGCCUGCACACUGCUGGCAUCAUUAGUUCUAACUUCAGAAACUAAGCUGAUAAUGUUUUUGGUUUUAUUGCUAAGGACAAAAGUAACAGAAACCAGUAAAUCUAGCUAAGGGUA